AGUUGAUGUCGUUUUCUCGUAUUCGUAAAGCAUGGAACAAGCCUCUGAGAAAUUUGGAAGAGGUAACUGAGACGAAAUCGUGUUUUUGAGGAGCAAGUAUGGAGAAUGAGGCAAACCAGCUACAAGUUGCAAAACCAAAUCUGGAUCUGAAAUUGGAUUGCCGAUUGCCGUUAGAGAAUCAGCUGCGGAUUUUAAUUUUUUGAUAUAUGAAUCUAUGGUUUCGAGAUCCCCUUUUCUGGUGCCGUGAAAUUGCAUUUUCCGUUGCUGAUAUAUAAUUAUUGCUUCAUCUUUUGAAUUUGAAGAAGAAGUACCA
This 313-nucleotide unclassified non-coding RNA is filed under the name Hevea brasiliensis (rubber tree). Lineage: Eukaryota; Viridiplantae; Streptophyta; Magnoliopsida; Malpighiales; Euphorbiaceae. The record is from RNAcentral.